This 493-nucleotide ribosomal RNA is filed under the name uncultured bacterium. RNAcentral describes it as "partial 16S ribosomal RNA". It matches the Rfam family "Bacterial small subunit ribosomal RNA", at positions 28 to 506 of the family's 1533-position model. The record is from RNAcentral.
GACGAACGCUGGCGGCGUGCCUAAUACAUGCCAGUCGAGCGGACUUAAAAAGCUUGCUUUUUAAGUUAGCGGCGGACGGGUGAGUAACACGUGGGCAACCUGCCUGUAAGACUGGGAUAACUUCGGGAAACCGGAGCUAAUACCGGAUAAUCCUUUUCUACUCAUGUAGAAAAGCUGAAAGACGGUUUACGCUGUCACUUACAGAUGGGCCCGCGGCGCAUUAGCUAGUUGGUGAGGUAACGGCUCACCAAGGCGACGAUGCGUAGCCGACCUGAGAGGGUGAUCGGCCACACGGGGACUGAGACACGGCCCAGACGCCUACGGGAGGCAGCAGGAGGGAAUCUUCCGCAAUGGACGAAAGUCUGACGGAGCAACGCCGCGGGAGUGAUGAAGGUUUUCGGAUCGUAAAACUCUGUUGUUAGGGAAGAACAAGUACGAGAGUAACUGCUCGUACCUUGACGGUACCUAACCAGAAAGCCACGGCUAACUACGU